UGUCCAUACAGCAGGGGCCGAGAAAUCUGCCUCAAACAAUGGAAAGCCACCGAUGGGUUUUACAUAGUUAUUCACUUGAGUGGCAGAAACUGCCCUUAGCAGGAGGGACUCAGUAGUGGAAACAAAGUCUUGUUCCGAAGAAACUACCAGUGGAGGAAGUGGAUGGAACAGACACACCAAUAAACAGAGUGAACAUCAACUGGGGAUAAAGUCUACAGAAAAGUAAAGCAGGCCAAGGGAAUUGCGCCGUGUUUGACAGCGCCUGUUGAGCCAGGGAGAAAAUUGAAGCCCAGAGAUGGAAAGACCUUCCUGUGCACAGCUGGCGAUCAGCAGCAUUGGAAUCGAACCCAAGUAACUCAGUCCCAGAGUCUGGACCCUGGAGUUCUGUGUCAAGUCAUGCCUGACGCCAGAAGACACACACUAAAGCCACAGGCCUGCACUCUGUGAACUCUGAGAUGGGAAGACGUCCACGAGAAGAAGCUGCGUUUCAUGUUGUUCCUGGAAGACUGACACAAAAGUAAAAUAAAACAUUUUUUAAAAGAUCAACUAUUUCAUCAGGGGAG
This is a long non-coding RNA of Alexandromys fortis (reed vole), 563 nucleotides long. RefSeq lists it as uncharacterized. The record is from RefSeq and is a predicted model, not a curated record. The transcript is spliced from 3 exons. NCBI's taxonomy places the organism in Eukaryota, Metazoa, Chordata, Mammalia, Rodentia, Cricetidae.